RNAcentral lists this ribosomal RNA (484 nucleotides) under uncultured bacterium. RNAcentral's name for it is "partial 16S ribosomal RNA". It matches the Rfam family "Bacterial small subunit ribosomal RNA", at positions 30 to 507 of the family's 1533-position model. The record is from RNAcentral.
AUUGAACGCUGGCGGCAGGCCUAACACAUGCAAGUCGAGCGGAUGAAGGGAGCUUGCUCCUGGAUUCAGUGGCGGACGGGUGAGUAAUGCCUAGGAAUCUGCCUGGUAGUGGGGGAUAACGUCCGGAAACGGGCGCUAAUACCGCAUACGUCCUGAGGGAGAAAGUGGGGGAUCUUCGGACCUCACGCUAUCAGAUGAGCCUAGGUCGGAUUAGCUAGUUGGUGGGGUAAAGGCCUACCAAGGCGACGAUCCGUAACUGGUCUGAGAGGAUGAUCAGCCACACUGGAACUGAGACACGGUCCAGACUCCUACGGGAGGCAGCAGUGGGGAAUAUUGGACAAUGGGCGAAAGCCUGAUCCAGCCAUGCCGCGUGUGUGAAGAAGGUCUUCGGAUUGUAAAGCACUUUAAGUUGGGAGGAAGGGCAGUAAGUUAAUACCUUGCUGUUUUGACGUUACCAACAGAAUAAGCACCGGCUAACUUCGUG